GACGAACGCUGGCGGCGUGGAUUAGGCAUGCAAGUCGAACGGUAUCAUCCUUUCGGGGGUGAGAGAGUGGCGAACUGGUGAGUAACACGUAGGUUAUCUACCCUCAAGACGGGGACAACCCAGGGAAACUUGGGCUAAUACCGGAUGUGAGCAACUUUUAGUUGUUUGAAAGGUGGCGUAAGCUGUCGCUUGGGGAUGAGCCUGCGUCCUAUUAGUUAGUUGGUGAGGUAACGGCUCACCUAGGCAAUGAUAGGUAGGCGGCCUUAACGGGUGGUCGCCCACACUGGGAUUGAGAUACGGCCCAGACUCCUACGGGAGGCAGCAGUCGAGAAUAGUCUACAAUGGUCGGAAGACUGAUAGUGACGACGCCGCGUGAACGAUGAAUCCCUUCGGGGUGUAAAGUUCUUUUAUAUGUGAGCAGUGCUUCUUAUAUUAACAGUAGUGGGGAAGAGAGAUAUUAGCAUAUAGAAUAAGCAACCGGCUAACUCCGUGCCAGCAGCCGGGUAAA
This 508-nucleotide ribosomal RNA is filed under the name uncultured bacterium. RNAcentral's name for it is "bacterial SSU rRNA". It matches the Rfam family "Bacterial small subunit ribosomal RNA", at positions 28 to 524 of the family's 1533-position model. The record is from RNAcentral.